RNAcentral lists this ribosomal RNA (468 nucleotides) under uncultured bacterium. Its description in RNAcentral is "partial 16S ribosomal RNA". It matches the Rfam family "Bacterial small subunit ribosomal RNA", at positions 28 to 507 of the family's 1533-position model. The record is from RNAcentral.
GAUGAACGCUGGCGGCGUGCUUAAUACAUGCAAGUCGAACGGAAAGGCCCUGCUUUUGUUUGUUUCUCGUGUGCCGAACGGGGGAGUAACACGUGUGUAUCCUGUCCUUGUCUGUCGGAUAUCUCUAGGAAACUCGGGCUAUUAUCGCAUAUAAUCUCCUGAUGCAUGUUGUUGAUUGGUGAGUGUCGGCGGUUGGGGAUGGACUCGCGGCUUAUCAGCUUGUUUGUGUGGUAGUGGCUUACCAAGGCUUUGACGGGUAGCCGGCCUGAGAGGGUGACCGGCCACAUUGGGACUGAGAUACGGCCCAGACUCCUACGGGAGGCAGCAGUGGGGAAUAUUGCACAAUGGGCGGAAGCCUGAUGCAGAAACGCCGCGUGCGGGAUGACGGCCUUCGGGGUGUAAACAGCUUUCGCAUGUGACGAAGCGUGAGUGACGGUAAUGGGUAAAGAAGCACCGGCUAACUACGUG